ACUGUGAACUAUUUUCAUAUUUUGCUUUGGGAUUCCCUAGUGGGUCCCAAACUUUUUAAACACAAAAUUAUUUAAUUCUGACAUGUUAUAAAAUCAAAAGUUUCAACGAUGGAUCUCUUGGUUCUCGCAUCGAUGAAGAACGCAGCAAAGCGCGAUAGGUAAUGUGAAUUGCAGACGUGAAUCAUUGAAUUUUUGAACGCAUAUUGCGCCUUUUGGUAUUCCAAAGGGCAUGCCUGUGCGAGCGUCAUUUCUCCUUAAUCUUACAAUUUUGUAGAUCUGAUGGAGCUGCUGGCAGCUCUCAAAACCAGGAUAGAGUACAUGUUAGUUUAUGUGCUUCUCCCAAUUUUGACCUCGUAUCAGGCAAGA
RNAcentral lists this unclassified non-coding RNA (366 nucleotides) under Wickerhamiella sp. CLIB 1735. RNAcentral's name for it is "sequence contains ITS1, 5.8S rRNA gene and ITS2". The stretch from base 98 to 247 matches the Rfam family "5.8S ribosomal RNA". The record is from RNAcentral. Lineage: Eukaryota; Fungi; Ascomycota; Dipodascomycetes; Dipodascales; Trichomonascaceae.